GACCUUGCCGGAUGCUUUCCAUGCAGUCGAGCGGCAGCGCGGGGGAACCUGGCGGCGAGCGGCGAACGGGUGAGUAAUGCAUCGGAACAUGUCCAUGUCGUGGGGGAUAGCCCGGCGAAAGCCGGAUUAAUACCGCAUACGCCCGAGAGGGGAAAGCCGGGGACCGCAAGGCCUGGCGCGAUUGGGUUGGCCGAUGUCCGAUUAGCUAGUUGGCGGGGUAAGAGCCCACCAAGGCGAUGAUCGGUAGCUGGUCUGAGAGGAUGAUCAGCCACACUGGGACUGAGACACGGCCCAGACUCCUACGGGAGGUAGCAGUGGGGAAUUUUGGACAAUGGGGGAAACCCUGAUCCAGCCAUUCCGCGUGAGUGAAGAAGGCCUUCGGGUUGUAAAGCUCUUUUGUCCGGAACGAAACGGAUGGCGUGAACAACGUCGUCUACUGACGGUACCGGAAGAAUAAGCACCGGCUAACUACGUGCCAGCAGCCGCGGUAAUACGUAGGGUGCGAGCGUUAAUCGGAAUUACUGGGCGUAAAGCGUGCGCAGGCGGUUUUGUAAGCCAGAUGUGAAAUCCCCGGGCUUAACCUGGGAAUGGCAUUUGGGACUGCAAGGCUUGAGUGCGGCAGAGGAGACUGGAAUUCCCGGUGUAGCAGUGAAAUGCGUAGAUAUCGGGAGGAAUACCGAUGGCGAAGGCAGGUCUCUGGGCUGACACUGACGCUCAUGCACGAAAGCGUGGGGAGCAAACAGGAUUAGAUACCCUGGUAGUCCACGCCCUAAACGAUGUCGACUGGUUGUUGGGGGUUUGACACUCUCAGUAACGAAGCUAACGCGUGAAGUCGACCGCCUGGGGAGUACGGCCGCAAGGUUAAAACUCAAAGGAAUUGACGG
RNAcentral lists this ribosomal RNA (884 nucleotides) under uncultured beta proteobacterium. Its description in RNAcentral is "bacterial SSU rRNA". It matches the Rfam family "Bacterial small subunit ribosomal RNA", at positions 32 to 916 of the family's 1533-position model. The record is from RNAcentral. Lineage: Bacteria; Pseudomonadati; Pseudomonadota; Betaproteobacteria.